Molecule: unclassified non-coding RNA, 172 nt
Filed under: soil metagenome
Description: partial internal transcribed spacer 1
Source: RNAcentral
CCGAGUGAGGGCCCUCUGGGUCCAACCUCCCACCCGUGUCUAUCGUACCUUGUUGCUUCGGCGGGCCCGCCUCACGGCCGCCGGGGGGCUUCUGCCCUCUGGCCCGCGCCCGCCGAAGACACCAUUGAACGCUGUCUGAAGAUUGCAGUCUGAGCAAUUAGCUAAAUAAGUU